Molecule: ribosomal RNA, 239 nt
Filed under: uncultured bacterium
Lineage: Bacteria
Description: partial 16S ribosomal RNA
Rfam family: Bacterial small subunit ribosomal RNA
Source: RNAcentral
UACGUAGGGGGCAAGCGUGUCCGGAAUCACUGGGCGUAAAGCGCGCGCAGGCGGUCUCUCACGCCGGGGUGAAAGCCCAGAGCUCAACUCUGGGAUUGCCUGGAUGACGGGGAGACUUGAGGAUCGGAGAGGCAAGGGGAAUCCACGUGUAGCGGUGAAAUGCGUAGAGAUGUGGAGGACACCUGUGGCGAAGGCGGCUACCUGGACCAGCACUGACACUGAGGCACGAAAGCCUGGGG